CCUACGGGAGGCUGCAGUGGGGAAUAUUGCACAAUGGGCGCAAGCCUGAUGCAGCCAUGCCGCGUGUAUGAAGAAGGCCUUCGGGUUGUAAAGUACUUUCAGCGAGGAGGAAGGCAUUGUGGUUAAUAACCGCAGUGAUUGACGUUACUCGCAGAAGAAGCACCGGCUAACUCCGUGCCAGCAGCCGCGGUAAUACGGAGGGUGCAAGCGUUAAUCGGAAUUACUGGGCGUAAAGCGCACGCAGGCGGUCUGUCAAGUCGGAUGUGAAAUCCCCGGGCUCAACCUGGGAACUGCAUUCGAAACUGGCAGGCUAGAGUCUUGUAGAGGGGGGUAGAAUUCCAGGUGUAGCGGCGAAAUGCGUAGAGAUCUGGAGGAAUACCGGUGGCGAAGGCGGCCCCCUGGACAAAGACUGACGCUCAGGUGCGAAAGCGUGGGGAGCAAACAGGAUUAGAUACCCCGGUAGUC
RNAcentral lists this ribosomal RNA (465 nucleotides) under uncultured bacterium. RNAcentral's name for it is "bacterial SSU rRNA". It matches the Rfam family "Bacterial small subunit ribosomal RNA", at positions 338 to 795 of the family's 1533-position model. The record is from RNAcentral.